This 712-nucleotide ribosomal RNA is filed under the name uncultured Hydrogenophaga sp. Its description in RNAcentral is "bacterial SSU rRNA". It matches the Rfam family "Bacterial small subunit ribosomal RNA", at positions 85 to 793 of the family's 1533-position model. The record is from RNAcentral. Lineage: Bacteria; Pseudomonadati; Pseudomonadota; Betaproteobacteria; Burkholderiales; Comamonadaceae.
CUGAUGGCGAGUGGCGAACGGGUGAGUAAUGCAUCGGAACGUGCCCAAUCGUGGGGGAUAACGCAGCGAAAGCUGUGCUAAUACCGCAUACGAUCUAUGGAUGAAAGCGGGGGACCUUCGGGCCUCGCGCGAUUGGAGCGGCCGAUGUUAGAUUAGGUAGUUGGUGGGGUAAAGGCUCACCAAGCCGACGAUCUAUAGCUGGUCUGAGAGGACGACCAGCCACACUGGAACUGAGACACGGUCCAGACUCCUACGGGAGGCAGCAGUGGGGAAUUUUGGACAAUGGGCGCAAGCCUGAUCCAGCAAUACCGCGUGCAGGAAGAAGGCCUUCGGGUUGUAAACUGCUUUUGUACGGAACGAAAAGGCUCUUUCUAAUAAAGAGGGCUCAUGACGGUACCGUAAGAAUAAGCACCGGCUAACUACGUGCCAGCAGCCGCGGUAAUACGUAGGGUGCGAGCGUUAAUCGGAAUUACUGGGCGUAAAGCGUGCGCAGGCGGUUUUGUAAGACAGGCGUGAAAUCCCCGGGCUCAACCUGGGAAUUGCGUUUGUGACUGCAAGGCUAGAGUACGGUAGAGGGGGGUAGAAUUCCGCGUGUAGCAGUGAAAUGCGUAGAUAUGCGGAGGAACACCGAUGGCGAAGGCAGCCCCCUGGACCUGUACUGACGCUCAUGCACGAAAGCGUGGGGAGCAAACAGGAUUAGAUACCCUGGUAG